RNAcentral lists this ribosomal RNA (198 nucleotides) under uncultured bacterium. RNAcentral describes it as "partial 16S ribosomal RNA". It matches the Rfam family "Bacterial small subunit ribosomal RNA", at positions 329 to 526 of the family's 1533-position model. The record is from RNAcentral.
CGCCCUUCCCUCCGCCGCCAUCAGUACUCGACGGGGCAGCAGUGGGGAAUAGUUGCACAAUGGACGAAAGUCUGAUGCAGCCAUGCCGCGUGAGUGAUGAAGGCCUUCGGGUUGUAAAGCUCUUUUGGCGGGGUACGAUAAUGACGGUACCCGCAGAAUAAGCCCCGGCUAACUUCGUGCCAGCAGCCGCGGUAAUAC